RNAcentral lists this transfer-messenger RNA (350 nucleotides) under human gut metagenome. It matches the Rfam family "transfer-messenger RNA". From Rfam's summary of the family: Bacterial tmRNA, also known as 10Sa RNA or SsrA, is named for its dual tRNA and mRNA-like properties. The record is from RNAcentral.
GGGGCCGUACUGGUUUCGACGGGGGUAGUGAGGCUGGAGUAGCGGGCCGUGGCGCCUGGCCACGAUAAAACGGGCAAUUUUCUUAAAUUUAACUGACAACAAUUCUGUUGCAAUGGCUGCCUGAUUAGGCGCCCAUCCGCCCCGGAAGGUCCACGAGCCGGGCUCGGGUGUGAUUUGAGUGGAGACCGUGCGUACGCUAAGCUUUGCGCGUACCAUGAAUCAUGAAGCUACUGACUCCCGUAGGGUGUUUGCUCUCGCCGGGAUGAGGGAAUGUAAAUAACAAACUGCGCCCGGAGAAGCUCUUUCCAAGUUGCUUUCGGACAGGGGUUCGAUUCCCCUCGGCUCCACCA